Molecule: ribosomal RNA, 528 nt
Filed under: uncultured bacterium
Lineage: Bacteria
Description: bacterial SSU rRNA
Rfam family: Bacterial small subunit ribosomal RNA
Source: RNAcentral
AAUAGAUACCCUGGUAGUCCACGCCGUAAACGAUGUCGACUUGGAGGUUGUUCCCUUGAGGAGUGGCUUCCGGAGCUAACGCGUUAAGUCGACCGCCUGGGGAGUACGGCCGCAAGGUUAAAACUCAAAUGAAAUUGACGGGGGCCCGCACAAGCGGUGGAGCAUGUGGUUUAAUUCGAUGCAACGCGAAGAACCUUACCUGGUCUUGACAUCCACAGAAUUCUGCAGAGAUGCGGAAGUGCCUUCGGGAACUGUGAGACAGGUGCUGCAUGGCUGUCGUCAGCUCGUGUUGUGAAAUGUUGGGUUAAGUCCCGCAACGNGCGCAACCCUUAUCCUUUGUUGCCAGCGGUUAGGCCGGGAACUCAAAGGAGACUGCCAGUGAUAAACUGGAGGAAGGUGGGGAUGACGUCAAGUCAUCAUGGCCCUUACGACCAGGGCUACACACGUGCUACAAUGGCAUAUACAAAGAGAAGCGACCUCGCGAGAGCAAGCGGACCUCAUAAAGUAUGUCGUAGUCCGGAUCGGGAU